UCACUUCAUUCUUCAUCAUCAUUUACCAAACUUACCCCUUCACUGGAAACCCUUUGUAAAACACAAAUCCUUCAUCAUCUUCAAACUCGAAUCCUUCACCUUCAACGUUCAAACUCGAAGCCCUUUACUGCAAACCCAUAAAUCAAACUCUUCACUGCCUAAAAAUCGAAACCCUUCACUGCAAAUUCAAAACCCUAUUCUCGUCAAAUUGAAACAUGAUUCUCGUUGCCUUCACCGGUCAAAUUCAGAAACCCAGGAAUUUUCGCUCAAACUCUCUUCACUGCAAACUGUUUGCUAUAAUUUGUUCUAUCUGACAGUGAAGUUUAUGAAUCUUUCUUGUGAAGGAGCCGUGUUUACCUGUAUAUACACAGAUUUUCACAAUUUUAUAUUCAAUAUAGCUUCUUGCCAUUAAAACAUAAGGUAUGUUCUCUCUUGUCCAAAAAUGUUGGAUUUCAAUUAUUCGGGCCAUCAAUUUUUCAUUGAAUUUCUUACUAUUAGGUUGUUUAAAGGUUUCAUACUACUCAUGUUAAGGGAAAAUUUUGAAAUGUCAUGUCUUGGUUCAAACGGGGGAAUAGUAAACGAAUUUGUUUGAUUUUUGGCGUAUAAUGUACAAUACAUAUUAAAAGUAGGUCAGAACAGGACUUAAAAUUUUACCCUUUGGUUAUCUAAUUCUAGCUUCCUUUUCUCUGUGCGCCAAAUAGAAUCAUGGUUACAUAGAACAAAUACAAUAGAAUUAACAAAGUAGAAGUAUUUUAUUUAUUUUAACACCAAAUAAGAUUAUGAGUUAUGGUGGUAGAUGUGGAGGAGCGAGCACUCAAAAAUGUUUGUAUUACACAUGUUUUACAAGUCGCCUAUUUGGAGUGAAACUAACAAGAUUUCAAUCAUUUUGGAUUUUAUCAAUCACAACUAUUAUCUUUUAAUUUUAUGCCUUUGAUGGUUAUGUUCAUCAACUGCUUGCUUCUUUUCUAUGAUUGCUACCUUGUGUACAUUCUUACUGAAAUGGCUGGAAGUACAUCAGAUGACUGAAAUUGUGUUCACUCAGACAUGUGAUGCAACUCAGCUUCUUGCUUUUAUUCUUAGGUAUCUCGGUUUGAAAGCCAUCCCAAUUAAUGGUCAUAUGAGUCAGGUAAUUUUACUAGACAUCUUGCAUUAUAAUUGUAAUUUGUUCUAAAAUUUCCUUUGUUUUUCCCCUUGUUAUUAUUGGAGGGCAUGCUGUGUUAGAUGGUGUGAUUCUUUAGCAGCUUCCCCCCAUUAUUUGCGUUUGUAGGUCUGCCAAUGCCACCAUGAUAUCUCUCAUUUAUAUUUAUAUUAUAAUAUGUUUCUUCUGACAGCCAAAGUAUAUAAGUUCAAGUAUGGGGAUUGUAAUAUUCUUCAUUGUACUGACAUAGCUAGAAGGGGACUAGAUAUGGAGUGGUUUACUUUGUGUUUAACUUAUUGUUCAGUUGUUUACUAAUCUAUAAUCCUCUUAGUGUCAUGUUAUUUUGCAUUUGAAUUAUAUCUCUCAAUGCUACAUAUAUAAUAGACCCUUAGUAAGUUGAUUAAUAUGUUUGAUUUGUCUAACUCGUUCUCUUUUGAUGUUGUUGUGACCGAACAGAACUGCAUUUGUUGAGGUUGUUACCAAUGUUGCACUUUUGCUACAUGAGGGUGUGAAGGUCUGUGCUCAAAUCAGUUUGGUUUUGCAAGAGGUCAAGGUGAUGUGCUCCCAAAAUUUGCCAAAUCUGAACGAAGCUUGGGGUAUGCUAAUAAACUUGUUAGCUUCUAAACUGUUAUGGAUGUACAAAAUGUUGCUUAUAAAGCUGAUUGGUAUGUUGUCUAUAUAGUGUGCAAUAUGUCACAAUCUAUGGAAGUUGUUCAUGAGUGUUGGAAGAGUGAACUUCACAUGUCUAUAGAACUGAUUUAUAUAGAAUUGGAAGAGUCUGCAUCAAUAUACUUUGUUGGAACUUGCAUCAAUAUACUUUGUUGGAACUGAAGUUUCACAUUGACAAAAGUAUUUACUGACUAGACGUUCACAUUUGAUCAGAUUCAAUUUUAGAGCCAAAAGCAACAAGUAGUUAUGAAUGCGGCUAUUAUAUCAUCAUACACAUGUUGAUCAUGGACCCAAGUACCAUUACAAUUUUAAUGAUAUGCAGUUGCCCCAACACAUUAAGAAGGGAUAUGAAUUUUAUUUUAUUUUUUAAAAUUUUGUUCAAGAUUUAGUAAUUGUAAUUGUU
Molecule: long non-coding RNA, 2210 nt
Organism: Trifolium pratense (red clover)
Lineage: Eukaryota; Viridiplantae; Streptophyta; Magnoliopsida; Fabales; Fabaceae
Exons: 5
Source: RefSeq, a predicted model, not a curated record